AUUAGUAGUUAAGGUCUUGAAAAUUAAAGAAUUUGGCGGUGUUUUAAUCUGUUCAGAGGAACCUGUCGUGUAAUUGAUAUUCCACGAUUAAUUAUACUUUUUUUAUUAGUUUGUAUAUCGUCGUUAUUGAAUAUUCUUCAAGGAUUUAAUAUUCAAGAUUCUUUUCAUGAAUAAAAUCAGAUCAAGAUGCAGUUUAUAAAAAAGUAUUGAUGGGUUACAAUAAUUAUAUUUAAAUGGAUUGGGAUUUGAAAAAUUUCAUGAAGGUGGAUUUGAUAGUAAUUAAUUUAAUUUAAUUUUAAUGAUUAAGCUCUAAAACAUGU
RNAcentral lists this ribosomal RNA (320 nucleotides) under Ahasverus sp. BYU CO771. RNAcentral's name for it is "partial 12S ribosomal RNA". Lineage: Eukaryota; Metazoa; Arthropoda; Insecta; Coleoptera; Silvanidae. The record is from RNAcentral.